Molecule: ribosomal RNA, 253 nt
Filed under: uncultured bacterium
Lineage: Bacteria
Description: partial 16S ribosomal RNA
Rfam family: Bacterial small subunit ribosomal RNA
Source: RNAcentral
UACAGAGGGGGCAAGCGUUGUUCGGAAUUACUGGGCGUAAAGGGCGCGUAGGCGGCCUUCUAAGUCGAACGUGAAAUCCCUGGGCUCAACCCAGGAACUGCGUCCGAUACUGGAAGGCUUGAAUCCGGGAGAGGGAUGCGGAAUUCCAGGUGUAGCGGUGAAAUGCGUAGAUAUCUGGAGGAACACCGGUGGCGAAGGCGACAUCCUGGACCGGCAUUGACGCUGAGGCGCGAAAGCCAGGGGAGCAAACGGG